AGAGUUUGAUCCUGGCUCAGAACGAACGCUGGCGGCGUGCUUAACACAUGCAAGUCGAGUGCGCGUCCCGGUAGCAAUAUCGGGAUGGCGCACGGCGCACGGGUGCGUAACACGUGGGUAAUCUGCCCUCUGAUGGGGAAUAACUCGCCGAAAGGCGAGCUAAUACCGCAUAACAUUCCGGGAACUCCGGUUUCUGGAUU
This 200-nucleotide ribosomal RNA is filed under the name uncultured bacterium. RNAcentral's name for it is "partial 16S ribosomal RNA". It matches the Rfam family "Bacterial small subunit ribosomal RNA", at positions 8 to 202 of the family's 1533-position model. The record is from RNAcentral.